Molecule: ribosomal RNA, 254 nt
Filed under: uncultured bacterium
Lineage: Bacteria
Description: partial 16S ribosomal RNA
Rfam family: Bacterial small subunit ribosomal RNA
Source: RNAcentral
GACGUAGGGAGCGAGCGUUGUCCGGAUUCAUUGGGCGUAAAGAGCGCGCAGGCGGUUUGGUAAGUCGGAUGUGAAAACCCGGGGCUCAACCCCGGGCGUGCAUCUCGAUACUGCCCGACUAGAGGUAGGUAGGGGAGAUCGGAAUUCCUGGUGUAGCGGUGAAAUGCGUAGAGAUCAGGAAGAACAUCGGUGGCGAAGGCGCUCUGCUGGACCAUAACUGACACUCAGGGACGAAAGCUAGGGGAGCGAAUGGG